CCCUUAGACGUUCUGGGCCGCACGCGCGCUACACUGACCAGUGCAACAAGCAUCCGUCCUUGGCCGACAGGCCUGGGCAAUCUUUGAACGCUGGUCGUGAUGGGGAUAGACUUUUGCAAUUUUUGGUCUUCAACGAGGAAUUCCUAGUAAACGCAAGUCAUCAACUUGCAUUGAUUACGUCCCUGCCCUUUGUACACACCGCCCGUCGCACCUACCGAUUGAAUGGUCCGGUGAAGCCUCCGGAUUGGCGCGCACCUCGGUGCCGCCGAGAAGUUGGCUAAACCUUACCAUUUAGAGGAAGGUGAAGUCGUANCA
This 315-nucleotide ribosomal RNA is filed under the name uncultured eukaryote. Its description in RNAcentral is "partial 18S ribosomal RNA". It matches the Rfam family "Eukaryotic small subunit ribosomal RNA", at positions 1470 to 1796 of the family's 1831-position model. The record is from RNAcentral.